Salmo salar (Atlantic salmon) is the source of this 54-nucleotide non-coding RNA. NCBI's taxonomy places the organism in Eukaryota, Metazoa, Chordata, Actinopteri, Salmoniformes, Salmonidae. The record is from Rfam.
GUGGUUCCAAUUUGUAAGUCGCUCUGGAUAAGAGCGUCUGCUAAAUGACUAAAA